UCAGUGGUGGCUGUACGUCAUUGUGGCUGUGGGUUUAGCGGCGCUCUUAAUAAUCGCCGUAGUGCUGAUCAGAUGGAAGAAAACUAAAGGAAACAAAAGAUGGGCGGAUGACAACACGGGACUGAGCUUAAACCCUGCAGUGAGUCAGUCUGCUCCAGAGACCGGUCAGGACACGGCUGAUCCUGAAGAAGGUGUUUCCUACGCCUCCAUCAGCUACACCAAGAAGACCGAUGGUAGAGCCCAGGUUCAGGUUAAAGAUGAUGAUGAUGAUGAUGCGGUGACCUACAGCACUGUGAAGACUCCCUCCUCUUCAGCUGGAGCCGCCGCUGAUCCCAGAGACGUCUACGCCACCGUCGACAAACCGAACAAAUCAGAGGUCACAGUGUAGUUCCCUGUGUUAUCAUUAUGUUACUGAGUUACUGUGUUACUGAUAUGUGCUGAUCAAACAGGAAAAUGGUUUGUCCUGUCCAAAUCCUGGAGAGCAUUUUAUAGUAACUUAUAUUUUGUAUAUAAUCAUGACUCUGUUAUUUAUAGUUAUUGAUUCAACUAAUAUUUGAGGAUGUGUUGUUUCUGGUUGUUGUAGUUACCUCCACCAAGGAGGUUGUUUUCCAGCAGACUCUUUUCUUGUCAAUUUCUCAGGGAGUAAUGUUUGGGUCUUGAUGUAAAAAAGAAAAUCAGGCUUAUUUAUGAUGUUGAGAUCUUUGCACAGCUUGGUGCAGAUCCAGAUAUUAAUGUGGAUCUCAGACGUGUAGCAUUGUUUGGCCUUGAUGCCGUUCUAUUACAAUCUUGUAGAUUUGUACAUUUCAUUUUCAUGAUUCAUUUCAUCGCGUUUUUCCAGGAGUAGUUGUUGUAAGACGCCUUUUUGUCCAGGUGCUGUAGAUUAUCUGUAUCUGGUUUCUGAGAUAAAUGAGUGUAAUAUAUGAAAUAUCUUCCUUCCUGUCAGAGACUUUACUGAGAUCAGUGAUGGACGUUUACCUGAAUCACCAGGGAAGCUCUGAACGAUCUGAUGCUUCUUAAGAUUUAUGGUGAUUUUAUUGCGUCAUUGUUACAUAAUAACUUCUAGCUUCUGAACAGAUUCUUUAAUGAUGCUGAUGAAGCUUUUACUCUUCUUCAUCACUGCACACUGUAAAAAAGAAAUCAUAAAAAAACAGUCAAAU
This is a long non-coding RNA of Seriola dumerili (greater amberjack), 1157 nucleotides long. RefSeq lists it as uncharacterized. The transcript is spliced from 5 exons. The record is from RefSeq and is a predicted model, not a curated record. Lineage: Eukaryota; Metazoa; Chordata; Actinopteri; Carangiformes; Carangidae.